Molecule: long non-coding RNA, 1451 nt
Filed under: Canis lupus familiaris (dog)
Lineage: Eukaryota; Metazoa; Chordata; Mammalia; Carnivora; Canidae
Description: lncRNA (ENSCAFG00040000462.1)
Source: RNAcentral
UGAUAACCGAAGGGAAAACACAUCGUGAUUUCUAACGACGCCGAGAGUCCUCCUGUCUCCUGCACAUCUGGGGGCCUGGGCCGCUCCGCCUGAGUGGUCCUGCAGACCAAGUUGCUGAGGCGUGCAGAUCGCAGGAGUUCUCCCCAGAGAAGGCCCAGGCUUUGCCGCCAAGCAUCCGCCCGUUACUAAUCCGCCACCCAUGAUCUCAAAGAGACGCCCGCCUGCCUCGGACCACACAGCGGCUGCCGGAUGCCCACAGCUUCACAAAGGCAUUCCUGUGUCUGUGGUCCCUGAGCAAGCAGCUACAAAAUGCUGCGUCAUCCUUUUCCCAGAAACCAAUUAGUGUCCUCCGCCUGACCAGGCUCGCUGGUGGCUUUCUCAGUGUGCACAGGAGCAGCGGGCAAUCGCCCUCCUGGUGGAGCCGUCAGCAGGUGGUAGACCAGCAGCCCCAGGGAGGGAAGCACAUGCUCAGAGUCCUAGCCUGCCUGUGUGUGUGCAUGUGUGCAUGUGUGCAUCUUCUAGGACAGCAUGGUCCUCACUGCACAGACCAGUACAGCUGGCCUCAGGAUGCUUGCGUCCUUUCUGGAAUGCAUCUCUGCCCAUCAUUCUCCUUGUUGGCUUGUUCCUUGGAGUGUGUAACAUAGACAGUUACGGGACAUGGCCAGUGUCUGCCUAACCCAUUAAUGGGUUAACCAGCAGGAUGACAAACGUGACUCAGAAGAGAAGUCAGAUCUCGAAGAGACAGUUGGUGGAGGAAAGGCUGCUGGAAAGAGGAUUCCCAGUCAGAUGGAGAAAAGAGGUUGAUCCUGGGGUCCUGGGAUCAAGUCCCGCAUCAGUCUCCCUGCAUGGAGCCUGAUUCUCUCUCUGCCUGUGUCUCUGCCUCUCUCUCUCUGUGUCUCUCAUGAAUAAAUAAAUAAAAUCUUACAAAAAAACCCCUAGCUUUGAAGAGGUAUAAUUGACAUCAAAUGCAUAUUUAGACUGUACUGUUAGGACUCUAUUGACAUAGCGCAUAUGAAACCAUCGCCAUAGUCAGGAUAACGAUCAUACACAUCAUCCUCAAAUCCUCCGUCAUCUUUUAACAGGAAAUCUAUUGAGACUGAACACAAGGGAGUUGUUUUCUGGGGUGGUUUCAGGUGUGGGAACAGCCCUAGGCUCUGGGCUUCUGCUCCUGAGAGAGCCACCUUCCUGGAGGGGUCCUACCUCCUCUGGCGCUGGAGCAGCGGGGGUCAACUCUCCUGUCUGAGCCGAGGCCCCCUCAUCCCCUGCCCCGGGGCAUCCUCGUGGUGCCCAGCUCCAAGGGGGAGUGCACCCUGGACUCCAAGCAGGUGGGAGCAGAGCCCCUCGGGGGGCCCUCAACUCUUCCCUUGUCUAGUUCGAGGCUCACAGUGGCCAAGCUCCUCAGAAACCAUGAUGUUGUUUCAAGGAACUACUUGCUCUCUUUUUGGGGGAAG